AGUAUCAGAACACAAAACCAUUAGCAUUCUUAAUUGGUACCUGCAGUAGUAUAACUCUCAAUCAUUCAAACCCAUUCACAACUCAGUUCACAGUGUACACUCACAACAUUUCACUUAAGAGAAACUGCAGAGUCAUGGACAAAGCAUUGAACUUUGGUAGAAAUCCAUCAGAUACUCUACCAAACAAUCUGCCCAGUCAGCCAAUGGAACUUUCUCCAAUACCCUUCAAUAAAAUCCAUUGCCCGAUCACAACCAAGCGCGUGAAACAAACCCAAAAACAAGCUCGACCCUUAAACAUAGACAUAGUAAACGCGCACAAAAGAAAAGGUGAAAACUUCUAGUUUUUGACGAACUGAAGAACCCUAAAGACUUGAAUAUUUGACAAUGGCACAGAGAGGAACAGACGGAAAUUACCUUAUUACCAGCGGUUGCUCCCUCUAUUGUUGAAUUGGGUUCCACGAGAAGGACCAGAGAAGCUAAAAAGGGGGAAAAAGGAGCUAAGAGAAGUAGUGGGUGGACUUGGUUUGGAAAGGGGAGAGCAAAUGCAGUUUGGGGAGACGAGAGAGAGGGAGGAGAGGAGUAUAUAAAUGGUGAAUGGGGGGUAUGAAUUGAAUUUGGGGACUAGGGUUUGGUUGGGGAGAGAUGGAAUUGAUUGGGAAAGAAGGAUGGAUGAUGGGGGUUUGAUUUAAGGGGGAAAUGAAUGAGGACUGAGUGACUGGACAAAAAGAGGAAAUGAAUUGAAAGGAAAGAAAUAGGGAGGGAGGAAGGGAGGGAAGUCUGAUUGCUUUGCAGUUGCAGUCUGAACUGAAUGGCAGUUUUAGGUGCAAUCAGAGUGGACCCGGGUCGGAUUUAUGUUGGACCCGAUGGACCAUUUUUUUGCCAGUUC
RNAcentral lists this long non-coding RNA (886 nucleotides) under Linum usitatissimum (flax). RNAcentral's name for it is "long non-coding RNA (LUSI_LNC005412)". The record is from RNAcentral. Lineage: Eukaryota; Viridiplantae; Streptophyta; Magnoliopsida; Malpighiales; Linaceae.